This is an RNA transcript of Salvia miltiorrhiza (redroot sage), 1153 nucleotides long. It is a transcript of the gene named transcription factor TGA4-like, with no coding region annotated. The record is from RefSeq and is a predicted model, not a curated record. Lineage: Eukaryota; Viridiplantae; Streptophyta; Magnoliopsida; Lamiales; Lamiaceae. The transcript is spliced from 3 exons.
UUUAUUAUAAAAAAUGAAUGGUCUAUGUUUUAAAUACAUCUCUCUCUCUCCUUACGCUGAGAGCUCCUCAUCUCUCUCGAUAUGUUUCCGGCGAGGAAUCCGGCGCCGCAGCCGUCGACCAUCUCUUUCAUCUGAAUCGUGCCCUAGCUCUUCCUCAAAUCCUCUGGAAAAGGCGAAGAUGAAAAGCCCCAAUUUUUCUCCUUCAUCUGAAUCGUGCCCUAGCUCUUCCUCUGCCCAAAUCGUCGCCGCCCUGCUACAACUUCCGGCGGCAUCGCCGCCCUACGCGGCUCUGAAACUCCGGCAAAGUCGACGCCGUGCACCGGAGUGUCUUUCUCUCUCAAUUCCCGUUCACAACAGAGCUCGUCUGCUGGCGAAUGGAGCUCGCCCUUCUCUCUUUCCCCGUGGAUCUCCGCCGCGAAUAGCUCCGGUGAGGCCGGCUGUCGCCGCCUCUGAAAUUGGCGACGCCAGCGCCGUCCCCUGCUCCACAUCUCACAUCCUCACUCACGCGCACCCGACGGAGGCAAGGGUCGUGCCCAGUCCUCCCAUCACAAACCGCCGCCCUAGUUCGACGCCGCCUUUUCUCCUGCCGUUUCGGCAGCCAUUCGCUAUUGUUUUCGAUUGUCUCAUCGACAAAGGUGGUUAUGCCUCAGCUGCAGCCACUCACCGACCAGCAAACCGCCGAUGUUGAUAACUUGAAGCACUCGUGUAUGCAGGCCGAGGACGCCUGUCGCAAGGGAUGGAGAAGCUCCAGCAGACCCUCGCGCAGAGCGUCACCUUCCUGCAUCCGGGAGCAGGAAACUACUGCUCCCAGGCCGCCUUUGCCCUCGAGAACUUGGAGUCUCUCGAGAGCUUCAUAAACCAGGCGGAUCAUCUGCGACAGCAAACUCUACAGCACAUGUCGCGUAUAUUAACUACGCGACAAGCAGCCACCGGAUUGGUUGCGUUCGGGGAGUAUUUUCAGCGUCUGAGGACGCUGAGCUCGCUCUGGUCCGCCCGUUGCCCGGGCGAACCGGCAUGAUCGAAGCAGCAUUAGGUACAAGUUCAACCACGGAUAUAUAUAAAUAUAAAUAUAUAGUAGAUGUGCUGUAAAUGAGAUAAAUAUUGUAGUUUUUGCUUAGGUGAGUAUCAAUUUACAAUCCAACUCUUGCUUUAA